GACGAGCGCUGGCGGCGUGCUUAACACGUGCGAGUCGAGCGAGGAGGCCGAGCUUGCUAGGUGGAUGAGUGGCGAACGGGGGAGGAAUACGUGAGUAACCUAGCUUGAACUCUGGGAUAAGGCGGGGAAACUGGGGCUAAUACCGGAUACUACCAAUCUCCGCAUGGGGUGUUGGUGGAAAGCGGUAUGUAUGGGUUAUAGAUGGGCUCGCGGCCUAUCAGCUUGUUGGUGAGGUAACGGCUCACCAAGGCGACGACGGGUAGCCGGCCUGAGAGGGUGACCGGCCACACUGGGACUGAGACACGGCCCAGACUCCUACGGGAGGCAGCAGUGGGGAAUAUUGCACAAUGGGCGCAAGCCUGAUGCAGCGACGCCGCGUGAGGGAUGACGGCCUUCGGGUUGUAAACCUCUGUUAGCAGGGAAGAAGAGAAAUUGACGGUACCUGCAGAGAAAGCGCCGGCUAACUACGUGCCAGCAGCCGCGGUAAUACGUAGGGCGCGAGCGUUGUCCGGAAUUAUUGGGCGUAAAGAGCUUGUAGGCGGUUUGUCGCGUCUGCUGUGAAGGCCGGGGCUUAACCCCGUGUAUUGCAGUGGGUACGGGCAGACUAGAGUGCAGAAGGGGAGACUGGAAUUCCUGGUGUAGCGGUGGAAUGCGCAGAUAUCAGGAGGAACACCGAUGGCGAAGGCAGGUCUCUGGGCUGUAACUGACGCUGAGAAGCGAAAGCAUGGGGAGCGAACAGGAUUAGAUACCCUGGUAGUCCAUGCCGUAAACGUUGGGCACUAGGUGUGGGGGACAUUCCACGUUUUCCGCGCCGUAGCUAACGCAUUAAGUGCCCCGCCUGGGGAGUACGGCCGCAAGGCUAAAACUCAAAGAAAUUGACGGGGGCCCGCACAAGCGGCGGAGCAUGCGGAUUAAUUCGAUGCGACGCGAAGAACCUUACCAAGGCUUGACAUAUACUGGACCGCAUCAGAGAUGGUGUUUCCCUUCGGGGCUGGUAUACAGGUGGUGCAUGGUUGUCGUCAGCUCGUGUCGUGAGAUGUUGGGUUAAGUCCCGCAACGAGCGCAACCCUCGUUCUAUGUUGCCAGCACGUUAUGGUGGGGACUCAUAGGAGACUGCCGGGGUCAACCCGGAGGAAGGUGGGGAUGACGUCAAAUCAUCAUGCCCCUUAUGUCUUGGGCUUCACGCAUGCUACAAUGGCCGGUACAGAGGGUUGCGAUACUGUGAGGUGGAGCUAAUCCCUAAAAGCCGGUCUCAGUUCGGAUUGGGGUCUGCAACUCGACCCCAUGAAGUCGGAGUCGCUAGUAAUCGCAGAUCAGCAACGCUGCGGUGAAUACGUUCCCGGGCCU
Molecule: ribosomal RNA, 1347 nt
Filed under: uncultured bacterium
Lineage: Bacteria
Description: bacterial SSU rRNA
Rfam family: Bacterial small subunit ribosomal RNA
Source: RNAcentral